This 400-nucleotide ribosomal RNA is filed under the name uncultured bacterium. RNAcentral's name for it is "partial 16S ribosomal RNA". It matches the Rfam family "Bacterial small subunit ribosomal RNA", at positions 355 to 772 of the family's 1533-position model. The record is from RNAcentral.
UGAGGAAUAUUGGACAAUGGAGGAAACUCUGAUCCAGCCAUGCCGCGUGAGUGACGAAGGCCUUCGGGUUGUAAAACUCUUUAAGUGGGGAAGAUAAUGACGGUACCCACAGAAUAAGCACCGGCUAACUUCGUGCCAGCAGCCGCGGUAAUACGAAGGGUGCUAGCGUUACUCGGAAUCACUGGGCGUAAAGCGUGCGUAGGCGGAAAUAUAAGUCAGAGGUGAAAUCCCGGAGCUUAACUUCGGAAUUGCCUUUGAAACUGUAUUUCUUGAGUAUGGUAGAGGAUGGUGGAAUUCCUAGUGUAGAGGUGAAAUUCGUAGAUAUUAGGAGGAACACCGGUGGCGAAGGCGGCCAUCUGGGCCAUAACUGACGCUGAGGCACGAAAGCGUGGGUAGCAAA